GGGGGACAACGUUUGGAAACGAACGCUAAUACCGCAUAACAAUGAGAAUCGCAUGAUUCUGAUUUAAAAGAAGCAACUGCUUCACUACUUGAUGAUCCCGCGUUGUAUUAGCUAGUUGGUAGUGUAAAGGACUACCAAGGCGAUGAUACAUAGCCGGCCUGAGAGGGUGAACGGCCACACUGGGACUGAGACACGGCCCAGACUCCUACGGGAGGCAGCAGUAGGGAAUCUUCGGCAAUGGGGGCAACCCUGACCGAGCAACGCCGCGUGAGUGAAGAAGGUUUUCGGAUCGUAAAACUCUGUUGUUAGAGAAGAACGUUAAGUAGAGUGGAAAGUUACUUAAGUGACGGUAUCUAACCAGAAAGGGACGGCUAACUACGUGCCAGCAGCCGCGGUAAUACGUAGGUCCCGAGCGUUGUCCGGAUUUAUUGGGCGUAAAGCGAGCGCAGGUGGUUCCUUAAGUCUGAUGUAAAAGGCAGUGGCUCAACCAUUGUGUGCAUUGGAAACUGGGGAACUUGAGUGCAGGAGAGGGGAGUGGAACUCCAUGUGUAGCGGUGAAAUGCGUAGAUAUAUGGAGGAACACCGGAGGCGAAAGCGGCUCUCUG
RNAcentral lists this ribosomal RNA (605 nucleotides) under uncultured bacterium. Its description in RNAcentral is "bacterial SSU rRNA". It matches the Rfam family "Bacterial small subunit ribosomal RNA", at positions 138 to 731 of the family's 1533-position model. The record is from RNAcentral.